CCUACGGGAGGCAGCAGUAGGGAAUAUUGCUCAAUGGGGGAAACCCUGAAGCAGCAACGCCGCGUGGAGGAUGAAGGUUUUCGGAUUGUAAACUCCUUUUGUUAGAGAAGAUAAUGACGGUAUCUAACGAAUAAGCACCGGCUAACUCCGUGCCAGCAGCCGCGGUAAUACGGAGGGUGCAAGCGUUACUCGGAAUCACUGGGAGGAAAGAGCGCGUAGGCGGGAGAGCAAGUCAGAUGUGAAAUCCUAUGGCUUAACCAUAGAACUGCAUUUGAAACUGUUAUUCUAGAGUAUGGGAGAGGUAGGUGGAAUUCUUGGUGUAGGGGUAAAAUCCGUAGAGAUCAAGAGGAAUACUCAUUGCGAAGGCGACCUGCUAGAACAUAACUGACGCUGAUGCGCGAAAGCGUGGGGAGCAAACAGGAUUAGAUACCCUUGUAGUC
This 440-nucleotide ribosomal RNA is filed under the name uncultured bacterium. RNAcentral describes it as "partial 16S ribosomal RNA". It matches the Rfam family "Bacterial small subunit ribosomal RNA", at positions 338 to 795 of the family's 1533-position model. The record is from RNAcentral.